Molecule: non-coding RNA, 2312 nt
Organism: Microcebus murinus (gray mouse lemur)
Lineage: Eukaryota; Metazoa; Chordata; Mammalia; Primates; Cheirogaleidae
Source: RefSeq, a predicted model, not a curated record
CACAAGUGUCUCUCCAGAUUCUCCCCACAGGGUGCGGAGGGGUUGAUUUCUGAUUGCGAAUGCGAGAUUCUCUCCCCAGGGACAGAAGAGGUCCGUGCAUUGUUUGCCAGGCAGUUUUGGAGCACGUGGCUGCAAGAUUGGGUCCAUAUCUAUUUGCGGAGGGGUCAGAUAUAAGCACAGGUGGAGCUGAGGGUGUCGAUGAGCACAAGACCUCAACAUGCAGGCAAAUUCUUAUGACACAAGGCUCCGGGCACUUCCCAAGGCCUCAGUUUACAGCCGUUCCCUCUUGCUAGAGCGGUGGCGGGCAAACCCGCGGCAGGCACCAUCGGUUGUCUACGCAGCAUCCACUUCCAACUGCUUUCUCUGCCGGCAGGAGCCACUUCUCACAAAAGACUUGGAACGUGCCAACUGUUCAUCGCGACAUUCUCUCCUGCCGCCAGGUCAUGUGACCCAACUCUGGCCAAUGAGCCACAAGGAGGAAGUAUGAGAAAGGCUUCACUCUUUAAUACAGACUCGACGUGGGAACCGGCGCCGCCAUCUUGGACUGCCAGGCGGGAAGUCAGUCCAUGACAGACACGAGCGAUUGGUGACCUCUUGUCCUGCUGAAUUAACCGAAUCUGAAAUGAACUAUCCUGAGGCCUCUUGCUAAGUAAAAUAAUAAAACAUCCCUCACGUUUAAGUUAUUUGCCUUAGCCUGUUCUGAGACUGGGUUGAUAUAACACAAAUGUCACAGCCUGGGUGGCUUAAUACAACAAACAGAAAUUUAGUGCUCACCGAUCUUGGGGGCAGGGAAGUCCAAGAGCAAGGUGCCAGCAGAUUUGGUGUCUGGUGAGGGCCUGUCUCUGGUCCCUAGAGGGACACGGCUGUGUCCUCACCUGGGGAAAGCGGUGAAGGGCGACUCUCUGGGGCCUCUUUGAAAAGGGCACUAAUCCCAUUCGGGAGGGCUACACCCUUGUGACCUGAUCACUCCCCAGGGCCCCCACCUCCAUCGCCAUCACAUCGAGGAUUAGGUUUCAACGUAUGACUCUCGAGGGGACACAAACAUUCAGCAUAUAGCACCAUUUUAAGAGUAUAGUAUCACAGGCAGAUGAAGCGUCCUAAUUCACUCGUUGGUUAGUCUCUAAAUGGUAAAUCUAAGCCACACCUGGGAUGCUCUGUCCCCAGGCAGCAUAAGAUUCGAGCAGCCUUGGAUGAGUGUGGGGAAACUCCUUUGUAGGUGGUGCCGCUGGGCCUCCAGUGGCAUCUCAUUGGGUCACAUCUCUCAUGAGACGCUGGAAGGGACCAUGCGUCGGCCAAGUACUCCAGGAACCAGAGCAUCCUCCUCUUCUAGGCCGCCCAACCCAAUCGCUCUUCUCCAGCGUCACCUCCUCCCCUAACUCGUCUGGGAGGCACUUCUGAGUGAGGAGCACCGAGCUUUCAGACUCACAGUCAUCACCUAGAACUUUGCUACUCAAAGUGUGGUCCGUGGGACCCGGGAGCUUCUCAGGAACAUAGCUUCUCAGGCCCUGCCCCAGACCUUCUCCAUCAAAGCUCGAAUUUUAACAAGAUUCCCCAGGGGUUCCUAUGCACAUUGAUGUUUGAGAAACACUGACUUAGGAAAAAAGAUACCUUGUUCUAACUGGAGAUGCUUUCCCCCGGUCAUGAAAGCCAUUCUCCUGGGUGAAUUCUUCCCUCAAGUAGAAGGAUUUCUCUCCAGGAAACCCAAAGGCUGUGGCUUAACAGUCUUUCUACGGAUUCAUUCUCAUGUUCUAACUUGUGAGCUUGGAGUUGCCUGAAUUUGUUACUUUGAUAUAAUGAGAUAAAUACAUGAUCUUGGAUUCUCUUACUCUGUCUUCAUGAGAAGCUUCCAGAAAUAAAGAGUCAUCCAUAAGUCUUAGGGGAGUUGAGAUUAAAAAAAAACUUUUGCAACAUGAAAUUUUGGUCCAAAUGGGAUUUUUUUUUUUUUGCUGGUGAUACUAAUUAAGAUUCUCUGUAAAACUAGGCCAGCCCCAUGCUCUCCCGUUGGCAGUCUGUUUAGAAUCUCUCUGUAAACACGCAGUGGCUUGUACAAAUAGGGAGGCUUUACUUUCCCAUCAUAAAGAGGGCCUGAAAUAAAUCCCAGACAACUCUACAAGUUUGUCUCUGCCAUAAAAAUCGUGGAAUUCAUGGAGCGCUGUCUCACUGCACCCAGACAGGAUACGGGCUGGCCAGUAAUCGGCAAUGGGAACCAGCUGGUGGCGGGUUUCACCCCAUUCAGACCCGGGAAGGGGACGUUUAAAGGGGACAUUGAGCUCUGCUUUCUGGGACACUUAAAGCUUUACAUUCAGGUGAUG